Macrobrachium nipponense is the source of this 437-nucleotide long non-coding RNA. RefSeq lists it as uncharacterized. The transcript is spliced from 4 exons. NCBI's taxonomy places the organism in Eukaryota, Metazoa, Arthropoda, Malacostraca, Decapoda, Palaemonidae. The record is from RefSeq and is a predicted model, not a curated record.
UCCUUUGAUCGCAGCCAUAAUCAUUGACAACAGGACUGGUCCCACAGGAGAAGCCGACUACAUGCCAGCCUUUUAUCUGGGCGAUGCUAUGUUGGCGAUCAGCGUCAUUCUGAUCGCCAGGUUGGAUCUGGAGGUCGAGCUGCCGCAGGACAGCCUAACUAAAGGCUUGAAGCAGAUCAUCACCCGUCCAGAAAUUGAUAAUUUUCCUGUUGCUUAUUCUCAUCUUGGGGUCCAACUUCGGAUUCAUUGAGAGUUACCUCUUCGUCUUCCUGAAAGAGCUGAAUGCUCCUGAUUAUCUUUUGGGCUUGACUAUGACUGUUGGAUGCCUGACCAGCGUUCCCAUGCUCUUCUGGGCUGACCCGAUCGUCUCUUGGAUGGUAGACACAACGUCUUCCUCAUCUCUUUUAUUGCCUAUGCCGUUGAGGAUGUUUGGCUAC